RNAcentral lists this transfer RNA (73 nucleotides) under Agrilus planipennis (emerald ash borer). It matches the Rfam family "tRNA". From Rfam's summary of the family: Transfer RNA (tRNA) molecules are approximately 80 nucleotides in length. Lineage: Eukaryota; Metazoa; Arthropoda; Insecta; Coleoptera; Buprestidae. The record is from Rfam by way of RNAcentral.
AAACACUAAGCUAAGUUGUCAGAGCAUUGGUGCGUAAAGCCAAAGGUUCCGGGUUCGAUUCCCGGCGAGGUUG